CCUUGAAUCACUUGGAAAUUUUGUUAGAAUGCAGAUUCUGAUUCAGUAGAUCAAGGAAGUCCUGAGAAUCUCCAUUUCUAGUAAGUUUUCAGUGUUCUAUU
This 101-nucleotide microRNA precursor is filed under the name Marmota monax (woodchuck). The record is from RNAcentral. Lineage: Eukaryota; Metazoa; Chordata; Mammalia; Rodentia; Sciuridae.